RNAcentral lists this ribosomal RNA (253 nucleotides) under uncultured bacterium. RNAcentral's name for it is "partial 16S ribosomal RNA". It matches the Rfam family "Bacterial small subunit ribosomal RNA", at positions 524 to 776 of the family's 1533-position model. The record is from RNAcentral.
UACGGAGGGUGCGAGCGGUACCCGGAUUUACUGGGCGUAAAGGGCGGGUAGGCGGUCUGGGGCGUCCCAUGUGAAAGGCCACGGCUCAACCGUGGAGGAGCGUGGGAUACGCUCAGGCUAGACGGUGGGAGAGGGUGGUGGAAUUCCCGGAGUAGCGGUGAAAUGCGCAGAUACCGGGAGGAACGCCGAUGGCGAAGGCAGCCACCUGGCUCACUGGUCACGCUGAGGCGCGAACGCGUGGGGAGCAAACCGG